RNAcentral lists this long non-coding RNA (355 nucleotides) under Coffea arabica (coffee). Its description in RNAcentral is "long non-coding RNA (CARA_LNC000143)". Lineage: Eukaryota; Viridiplantae; Streptophyta; Magnoliopsida; Gentianales; Rubiaceae. The record is from RNAcentral.
CCCAGUGGACAAGCGAAGAUAGAUCGCUUUCAACUAAAUUCAAGGACCUCAACUGUAGCACUCAUCUGGACGUGCAUGUGAUGGAAUUACACUGAUAGGAAAUUGCAUUUUCUUGUUUGAAAUGCCCCUUAUACUGAUGCUUUUCGAAGUGCUUUAACCUGACGGGUUAUAAAUGGUGCAGAAGAAAGUUGUUGCCUUGAGUUUCACAUUGUUCUUCCUACUACUACAGACAGAAUUAGAGAAAUAGCAUUUGUUGGCUUCAUUGAUCCCGUAUUUGUAAAUUAAGUCUCAGAUUGAAUAUGGAUUUAUAAUCCUUUGAUGACGAAGGAUUCAAGGUGACACAGCAAACAAAAAC